RNAcentral lists this long non-coding RNA (212 nucleotides) under Capsella grandiflora. RNAcentral describes it as "long non-coding RNA (CGRA_LNC001244)". Lineage: Eukaryota; Viridiplantae; Streptophyta; Magnoliopsida; Brassicales; Brassicaceae. The record is from RNAcentral.
UCUUUAUUCACAAUGUACCAUUCGGAUUUGUUACACACAUGACAUAUCAUUAUGUCAUACAGAAUUGUUACCUGUAUAUGGAGAUAAAACACAUGUAAAACAACCGAUAUAAAGACAUAGCAUACAAAUUGUUACGAUCGCCUAUGGAAUUCGUAUAUUAUUCCACCGAUGGCAAAAGUAACUUAAUCAUGAGAAAAUAAUUGAGAGAGAGA